GGGUCGGUGGCAGAGCGGUCAAAUGCACCAGACUGUAAAUCUGGCGGUUUACGCCUUCGGGGGUUCGAAUCCCUCCCGGCCCA
Molecule: transfer RNA, 83 nt
Filed under: Candidatus Moraniibacteriota bacterium
Lineage: Bacteria; Candidatus Moraniibacteriota
Description: tRNA-Tyr
Rfam family: tRNA
About the family: Transfer RNA (tRNA) molecules are approximately 80 nucleotides in length. Their secondary structure includes four short double-helical elements and three loops (D, anti-codon, and T loops).
Source: RNAcentral